GCCACCUCUUCUCCGAUUGCCUUCCUCUUGUGCGCGGCGGACCAACGCAGGCGUCUCGGACAGUCCGAGCAGCAGGAUCCACAUGCAGUCGAUGCUCAGCCAACUCCCUGGGUACACCUGGCAUGUCAGCGGGCUUCCAUGCGAAAAUGUCCCAGUUCUCACGGAGGAAUUGGAUGAUCUCGGCUUCCUAUUUUGGAUCAAGGGUGGUGGAGAUGUUCAUCGGGGCAGCGGUGUCGUUUGUCGGGUGGAUGCUGACCUUCUUCGUUUCUCCCGCCGACUGGAAUGCGGACUCCGAAGCUGGCUUCUUCGAACGCAUCAAGUCAGCGGGGUCGGCUGUCUUCUUGUACUCGUCGAGCUCGAGGACAGCCAUCUGCUGACCGGCGAUCCUCGACCCCUGCUGUAGACACUCCUCGGCCUGCUGCCGACUGCCUGUGACAGUGAUCACACCUUUGGGACCUGGCAUCUUCAGCUUCAGGUACAUGUAACAUGGACAGGCCAUGAAACACGCAUACGCCGGACGGCCCAGAAUCGCGUGGUAUGCACUCUGGAAGUCCACCACCUCGAACAUCAGCUUUUCCUUGCGGAAGUUCUUGUCGGAGCCGAAAACGACGUCCAACGCGAUCUGGCCGAGUGACUUGGCCUUUCGUCCAGGGACGACUCCGUGGAACUGCAUGCUGCUCUCACUAAGUUUAAACAUCGGAAUGCCCAUCCCCUUGAGAGUGUCGGCGUACAUGAUGUUCAAACCGUUGCCGCCGUCCAUGAGGACUUUGCGGAGUCGGACUCCUUCCACCACCGGGUCGAUGACCAGGGCCUGCCUCCCUGGGGUGGGUACGUGUGCUGGAUGAUCCGACUGGUCAAAGGUGAUCGCAGUGUGAGAUCAUUUGAGGAACGUGGGGUUGGUUGGGGUGGCCAUGUUCACCUCCCUGUUCACCAGCUUCAGUCGACUCUUGCUUUCCACGUCAGGAAAAAUCAUCAGUGUUGCAUGGACUUGGGGGAACGGAUCCUCCUUGUCCUCCUCAUCCUGUUCAUUGUCCUUUUCACUCGGCUGCCCUUCGCCAAACCCUUGGAUCAGGAGGCGACAUUGCCGAGUGGUAUGCUUUGGAAAUAUGGCGUUGCCUUCUUCAUCCAUCUUUGUGUGGAUGGGACAUGGCUGAUCCAGGAUGUGGUUUCCGAACUGCUUCUUCUUGGGGGUGAACUGAGCCUUCCCCUUGCCCUUGAACUUGGCAUUGGUAACGGUUGCGGCCUCUGCCUGCGGAGUGGACGGUGCUUUCUGCUUCUGCUUCCGAGUGCUGUUCCCAUCUCCAUCGGCGACUGCUUUAUGCUUGCCGCUACGAAUGCGAUCAUGUUCUUCGCCAUUGGCAUAGCGUGCUGCUAUCUCCAUCAUCUUGCUCAUGGAGAUGUCGCCUAUCCGACCGAACUUCAGGUACAGAUCCCUGUACCGCACGCCUGCCUUGAAAGCGCAGACUGCUUGGUGCUACGUGACGUUCUCCACCGUGUGGUAGAGGGUUGUCCAACGCUGGAUAAAGUCGCGCAGGGGCUCAUUCUGCUUCUGGACACAGUGCUGGAGCUCCACGAGACCAGCAGGGCGUUUGCACAUCCCUUCGAAGGUCCUGAUGAAGACUUGGGCCAGAUCUGCCCAGCUGUAGAUGCUUGAAGGGGCUAACUGGUUCAGCCACGCCCGUGCCGAGCCGUCGAGCAUCAGGGGGAGAUGUUUCAUGGCGACCUGGUCAUCUCCGCCACCGAUCUGGACUGCCACUCGGUAGUCGUCUAGCCAUGUUUCUAGCUUGGAUUCUCCUGUAAACUUGCUGAUCCCCGUCGCCAAUCGGAAGUUGGGAGGGAUGUCAGCCGAACGGAUGGCCCGACUGAAACACUCGGGACCAGAGACGAUGGUCCUGCUUCCACUCGGACGGUCUCUAUCAUGACCAUCACGGUGGGCUCGGCUCCUGUUGACCUUCCUCUGGACGAUGUAUCCUCUUGCAUCGGGCCUUGGAUCAUAAGUGUCACCGACCGAACGCCGAUCCUCAUGAUGUCGGGGCCCGUAGGGCCCACCCCGCGGAGGGGUGCGUGAACAGCGACGAUCUUCGGGAUUCAUGGAACGGCUGCCUCCUCUGUGUCGCUGAUGAGAAUCGGGGCUGAAAACUGACCGAUGCGUGUUCGCGUCAACAGAACUGUUGUGGAUCCUGUUGUGCGACUGGGAGACCGCCGAAUUCUGCUGCUGCGCCAUGUGCAACAGGGCACGGAUCUGCUCGAUCCCUCUGCCAGCCUCUGAAUCAGUCGGCUGGAGGGAAUCGGCUAUCUUGGCGGCGGCAGCCAGGUUGAGGACGGGUGUGCGGAACACCUCCACAUUUCUCUGACGAGUGCGCCGACUGGCAGAACGGCGGGGCUGACGGCGAGCGCCAGAUGUUUCGCCGACCUCGUGCUCGUUUUGAUCGGUUUGGCGGGGACUUUCAUGGGAAUUGGCCAUGUGCACUUCGGCUGCAGGCCCGCGACCCAAGUACUCGGAAGGCAACUCAGUCGGAACUGAGUCCGAGCGCUGGGACGGUGGCGCAACUACAACCGAUUCGAGGACCGCCACUUGUGAAGACGCGUUCUGGCGCACCUGGGCGUGUUGCACCCAACGCUGGAGUUGCGGACGGCGAGACCGCUUGUUGCGGCGCGUGACGGGGGCGAAGAUCGACACCGGAGCCGACUGCUGGAGAAGAAGGAUGCCGCGGGUGCCGGCACGGAAGUGCGUAGCCCCGCGACUGGGGAGCGCCUCGACGUCGAGAGGCGCAUCCCGAAGCCAUACCGAAUCGUCGACGAUGAAGGAAAGUGCGUCGAAGAGGAUCUCACGACCCAUGCACAAAUCUCCACCGGACGACAUGACGAAAGUAUGUAGUCGCAAACUCGCUGGAAGUCGCUUAGACGCCUGCCCCACGGUGGGCGCCAACUGUCAUGGGUAUAAGUCUGACAGUAGAUGUGUAGGGUACGAAAGGAUGGGCAGAGCCUUAGCUACGACGAGGUUGUAUGAGUUCAGGCCCCUCUACGGUGGAGGUAAAAGCCCUACGUCUCAGUGCUCUUGGGAGCUUGAUGUCGAGUGGAAUAUGGAUUACAGUGAAAUGCUAACCCCUGCACCAGUGGGAAAGGGCGGCUUAUAUAGAGUGCGCUGCCCUUCACAACGGUUCCGUGCACAGGGGUGGUGUAGUGGCGAAUAAAUGCAUAUGUUACAGGGGGUUACGAUGUACAGAGUGGAAUCCAGUCGGUAAGUUUGAUACGUUCCGAAUGCUCAUCUCCGACUGGAUGAUGGAGGAAUCAUCACCGACUGGAUGAUGGGAAGUCCUUAAUUCAGUCGGAACUGACUAAGGGCCUUGUCCCUUAUGAAGGGUAGUCCUUGGGUAGGACCUAUGGGGCAGGCCUAUGACCCUAUCCUGGGACUAUAACCCCAUCACCACUCAAAAAAAAUUAGGAUCACGCGGAUAUUCUUGGGAUCUAUAUGAUGCCGAUGUGACGGAGUUUUGUCUUGGUGCCUCCUAUCUGCUUUAAGUUUCAGGAGAGUUGAGCUCCAGGGGAUUCUUGUGCACAUCAUUAUCAUUCAUAUUUAUUAGUAUCUCAGAACGAAGGAUGUUCGUAAUUGCUUCAAUACUAGUAGUGGCGAGAUAACCCCGAUGUCCCCAGUACUGGUGCAGAUUGUUCGGGAGUACUGCCAUACUUUGUAUCGUUGUGAUCACGAGGGUCUGUUGUAGAUGAAGGUCCGAGAUUCUGGUUGUGUGUUGACGGAUGUGAUACAAGUGACGGGUUAGUAUAGGAGUUGUGUGAUAAUUACUGCUUGUAUCCGUGUACCAGAUUGCAUGACCAGAUAAUUUUGGGAAUUCUUAGGUGCGAAUUCAAGUAGUUGCUUAUAGGACAAUCUUCCAACAAAUACAUGAUGUUAGGUUGGGGUUCGACAUCUAGUGGAUUCCUGUCCACGAAAAUAUCGGACGAAAUCUUUCCCAUGAGUUUGUUCUGGCUUGUUUCAUAAGCCUCACCCUUUAUUUUGUUGAAAUAUGGUAAUUCAAGUUGCUUCGAUGUCAAGUGGUGUUUCAGAUCUUUCCUAAGUGGUGUUCUCAUAUUUUUAUGAGAGUAUUAAUUCUUUUGCUCUAUCAAUUGUCUUAUCAAUUCCUUUCAACCGGAGUCAUCGUAUCAAUUCCAUUCAACCGGUGUGCUUCUCUUCAACUGAAUUCAAUCUUAUCUAAUUUUGCAAGAUCAUGCUCUCAUUUUAUUUCGGAGUUCAUCUCUUCUGUCCCAAAUUCUCUUUGUUUUUCCCCGCCCUCCCGCCCUUUUUCUUCAGUGAUUGGAUUUCAUCCAAGUGCAUUUCAUUCCAGUGAUGCUUCCGCUAUCUCGUCUUCCUUUCGUAGCCGUUGAUUCAUGGUGAAGGUUCUCAGGAGCUUCAUGUUCAUCCUUAUUCAGUCUUGUUAUUUUUCCGGUGAAUUCAAUUUAGUUGUCCGUGUCAUCUUAUCCAUUCAUCCUUGUAAUUCUUUCCUAUGUUGGGAAUUCUUAUGAGCCUAUCUUGUUAUUUAUUCCUCUCUUUUCGAUCCGGAGCGUUGAAGCUAUCUUUGAAGUUUUUGUUUCCAAUCCUUUUAAUUAUUUCGAGGUGCUAACCUCAUCUAUUCUUCAUUUGUACCAGGGCAAUAUCAAUCUUUCUAGAAAUCUUUUCAACGGUGGUUCUUCGACUGGGCCAUAACCCACAGGUUUUCCCAAGAUCUUUCCUGGCUCUUUUAAUUUUUCCGGAGAUCCUUAAUUCUUUUCAACUAUGACGUAAGUAUGAUUUUCAUCAGUUAUAUCCUUUCAUCAAGAUCAAUUUGAAUUAAUUCUCAUAUUUGGCUCAACCUUGCAAUUUUCUUUAUUCCGGAGUGUCUCAGUUAUUCGUGGUGUUGUUUCUCGUCAUCAUUCUCAGCUUGCAAUUCGAAGGAGUGUUUCUCUCAAAUCUUUGUCCAUUCUUGUGAAGACCGUCAUCUCAGCUUCGUGUAUCCUCUCAUUUGUUGCCAAUCAUGAGUAUCCCUUUCUUCCUAUCCGGUGCAUUUCUGAGUUGUUUUUAUUUCUCUUCCUCCAAAGGCCAUCAUUUCAGAAGAUUCUCCGUUCUCAGCUUUCAACUUUCAUCCUCAAUUCUUCUCAAUUGUUGUAUCUUCGUUCGUCUCUCGAUUAUCCGGUGCCUUGUUCUAGUUUUCUCUCAGGUGGCUCAUGAUCUCUUCUUUCUCAUGUAUCUCUAGUCAUUCAUGGUUGCUUCAUUCAUUUCAAUUAUCACCGGUGUCUCUUUCAAGAUUUCUUCUAUUUUGUGCUCAUAUCUCUCCUCAAUCUUUUCAAGAAGAAUAAGUUGUAUGCUAGAUCCGUUGCUUGUCAUCAAUUAAACUUGAUGAAGGAUAAGCAUAACAUAAUUCGUAUUCUUGUUCUUCCUUCUUCCAAGAGAUUUCAAUUCUUCUUCCAGAGUGGCUCGUGAUAUCAAUUCUUUUCUCAAGUGCUUAUCUUUCUUUUCCGGAGUUCCAAGUUCUUUUAAGUAUCUCUUUGUGAGGCUUCAUCUAAAUUUUGGCAAGGUCAUAAUCUUAUUCUUUUCUACCUUCAUGUUGUUGCAUAAUUCAUUUUUUAUACGGAGGUCCUUCUUGGUGGUUCAUCAAGGUUUCAAUCCAUUCUCAAGUGUUCUUCAAGAUUCUUGUUGGAGAACCUCGAGUAUCCUUUCUCUUGCAUUUAUAUGUGCAAUUGUUCUUCCUUUAUCCUUUGAGGUGGUAUUAUAGCAUUCUUGUUAGUGUAGGAGCCUCGAAGAGAUUUCCAUUCAAGUAUGAGAUAAUUAAAACCACCAAUUCUAUGAUCAUGAGAUAUUCUCAACUGAUGAUUUCUUCAUUGAGUUAUCUUGGUUUGGACUUCACCUAAAGCUUUUCCUAUGGAUUAUGCUAUCAUGGUGCUUGUCAUUAAUCCCAGUUCUCAAUGCACCCUCUUGGUGUAAGAAGUUUUGAUAUCUUUGCUUUCAUCUAUCCUUGGUUCUUGUAGUGGUUGGUUGUCACCUCAUAUUUGUUGAGAUGAUUUUCAUAAGCCCACUACUAUCUUGUUCUUUUCGUUGUUGUUUUUCCAACAACUCCGUCCAAUUCUUCUUGCAAGGGUGCUUGUCAAGUUCAUUGGACUUAGUAGUUGUCAUUCUUUCUUCAUUCUCUUCUUCCGUAUGAGCUAGUUCAUAUUCUCUUCUUCCGGAGGCCUUGUGUUGUUGCUCUUUUGGGUCAAUCUUGUUGUUCUAUCAAGAUCAUGGUGUUCCCUUGUUCAAUUUAGUUAAUUGUUAUGAAUAUUGUCUAAUUCUCCUACCUUUUCGAAUUUUUUGUCCCAUUUUCCUACCGAAGUGUUGCCGAAAUUUUCCGUGAAUUCUUGCUUCCUUCUCAUAUCAGUCCUCAUCUCUUUGCAACUUUCAAGGAUCAUUGGUUUCACUCGUUUGUCAAAGAAGCGACCAAGUUUUUACCUCUCGUUCUUUCUCAUCCUCUCCCCCUUUCAUUCUUGGAUCUCGGGGACAGAUCCUCUUGUAGUGCAGGAGAGUUGUGACAGCCCGAUGCUGACGUUCCAGAAGAUUCCCCCUUCUUUCCGUUUUCGUCGUGUGUCUAUUUUAUUUUGUCGCAUCAUCAUCGCAUCAUUCACAUCAUCUGCAUUGCAUCGGCAUCUCCGUUGCCACCAGUUUUCAAACUUGCCUCCGUUGUUAGCUCCCGGUUCUCGUCGUUGUCCGUUCUUAGCCCGACCGCACUCGCACGCGCCCGCGACAUCGUUUAAAUCUUGUUUCCAAAAGUGUGCGUAAAACUUUCACUGAUCGGGGUGAAACUUGGCAUGCGGUCGUAAUUUGUUUUAGUUAGACCGCCUGUCGAAUUUCGUCGUGAUCGGAGUCCGUCUGGCACCCGAACGGUCGACCGUAACGGCACCGUAUUCGGUUUGCCGUCGGACGUCUGUCGGUGUUUCAAAACUCGUUGCCGCGCCGCCCGUUCUCCCUCUCGUCCCCGGAUAUCCCCUCUACAUGGCCAUGUACCCGUUCUCGCGUGCGGAAACGUUCCAAUCCGACCCCACGGUUGGAUCCGGAACGCGAUUUUGGGUAACCUACCCCCUGUUUGUCUAUAUAUAGACCCCCAUGCCAUUAAUUAGACAACCACUCCCCCUCUGCCUCAAAAACCGUGCCCACACCUAACCCUAGCGCAGCCUCCCACCUCUCUCUCCCACCUCCAGCCACCGGGCCCACCCGAGCCCGGGUCAGGCCCACCGAAGCCCAUCUUAGCCCGAGGCUAACCCUAGCCCGAGCUCCUGCGCCUUCCUCGCCGAGCUCCGCCGCCCGCGCCUCGCCGGCGCCCCGCUGGCCGCCUCCCGCGCGCAGCUGCAGCCUCCCCCGCCGCCUUGCCCUUCGCCUCCGCGACGCCGCGCCGCCCCACCUACCCCGCCGCCGGCCUCUGCUAGUAAGCGAGCCGCCGCCAUGGCCGCCUCCUGCCGCCUCGCCGUCCUCCGCCCGGAGCUCGCCGCCGCCGCCGGAAAUGGGGUUCCCGUGCCCGGAUCCCUCCAGAUCCGGCCGGCCCCCACCGAUUCAACUUCUUCCCCGCCGGAUCGAGCCCUGCCUGGUGCCGCCGCCGGCCAGGCGCCAUGGCAUCGUGCUGAGAACGGGAGGACGAGGGCGCUGCUCGCCAGCGCCAGCAGGCCAGAGCGCCUCUAGCCGGCCGAGCACCACACCGCCGGCCCAGCACCACCAGCCUCCGCCUCGGCCCACCGCAACCAGCCACUCCACGAGGCCCAUCUCGCGCCAGCCCAAAGUGAUCCUUCCCCGAGCCUAACCCUAGCCCGCAUGCAUUUUUAAUUAUGUAGCGCCCGCGUGUGCGGCCCGUUAGAUAAUUAGGAUUUUUUUUCGAAUUAGGAAUAUUCCAGAAAAAGACGUAUAUUAAAACGUCCGUAGUUUUUAAUCCAUAAGUCGGAUCGCGAUGAAUUAGAUACGUAUUUGGUGUAGAAUUUCGCGUAGUAUCCGUUUUUGCAACUUGCAUAAAUAUUUGAUGAGGUUUGACCCACUGUUUGCCUAGAGUAACGUGUUGUCCCCUUAGAAUAGUGCCCGUAUUAGUUUUCGCGCGUGCCCGGACUGCCCGUAUACCGUAGAUUAAAUGUCCAUGUUUUAGGGACCAUUAUUCCAUGUAUUUUAGAGCGGUCAUAGGUAAUUUUGGAUGUAUGGAUUGCCGGUAGUUAAUUUUCCCGUGUAUAGGNNNNNNNNNNNNNNNNNNNNNNNNNNNNNNNNNNNNNNNNNNNNNNNNNNNNNNNNNNNNNNNNNNNNNNNNNNNNNNNNNNNNNNNNNNNNNNNNNNNNCUCUCUCUCUCCGUCCGUCCGGACGGGAGCAAGGCCGCGAGACUGGCGGCCGGCUUCCAAACCAGCCGGGAUUCGAUUUCGGUUUCGGUUCUGGUUCUGGUUCNNNNNNNNNNNNNNNNNNNNNNNNNNNNNNNNNNNNNNNNNNNNNNNNNNNNNNNNNNNNNNNNNNNNNNNNNNNNNNNNNNNNNNNNNNNNNNNNNNNNNNNNNNNNNNNNNNNNNNNNNNNNNNNNNNNNNNNNNNNNNNNNNNNNNNNNNNNNNNNNNNNNNNNNNNNNNNNNNNNNNNNNNNNNNNNNNNNNNNNNNNNNNNNNNNNNNNNNNNNNNNNNNNNNNNNNNNNNNNNNNNNNNNNNNNNNNNNNNNNNNNNNNNNNNNNNNNNNNNNNNNNNNNNNNNNNNNNNNNNNNNNNNNNNNNNNNNNNNNNNNNNNNNNNNNNNNNNNNUGGUUCUGGUUCUGGUUUGGUUUCCCGCAGGAGCCAGCGGAGGCGGAGUGCGGAUUUCGUUUCGCCACGCUGGUUAAUGCUUUCCAGAAUUGCUCGCCCGCUGGGGCCGCCGCCGCUCUCCUNNNNNNNNNNNNNNNNNNNNNNNNNNNNNNNNNNNNNNNNNNNNNNNNNNNNNNNNNNNNNNNNNNNNNNNNNNNNNNNNNNNNNNNNNNNNNNNNNNNNNNNNNNNNNNNNNNNNNNNNNNNNNNNNNNNNNNNNNNNNNNNNNNNNNNNNNNNNNNNNNNNNNNNNNNNNNNNNNNNNNNNNNNNNNNNNNNNNNNNNNNNNNNNNNNNNNNNNNNNNNNNNNNNNNNNNNNNNNNNNNNNNNNNNNNNNNNNNNNNNNNNNNNNNNNNNNNNNNNNNNNNNNNNNNNNNNNNNNNNNNNNNNNNNNNNNNNNNNNNNNNNNNNNNNNNNNNNNNNNNNNNNNGCCGCCGCCGCUCUCCUCCUCCUCAUCCCCCCCGCUGCCGAUGCCGGCGUUUACUUCUUGCCUCUUUCGCGCGGCCCCACCGCCCCGGCGCGCCGUUGCCUGCUAAGCCCCGCAACCCCUCGCCGCUGCUCGGCCGAUCGGUCCGUCAGUCAAUCCCGGCCCCAGGAUCGGAGUUCCCCCGGGACGGGGCCCAUGCCGACGGGUUUGGUCGCGCAUUUAUAGCCCUCCCUCCCUCCCUCCCUUCCUUUCCCUGCUCGCUCCCAGAUUGAUCCUCCUCCCUGCCCUCGCGCCGCAAAUACCUGACAGGCGCGCGGAUUUGGGGGGCGGCGGCCGGGAUGGGCUGCUUCGGGUGCUUCGCGCCGGCGGCCCGCCGAGGCGCCGGCGACCUCAAGCCCUCCAAGCUCGCCCACCACUGCACCGACGACGACUCAGGUGCUCUCUUAUUGGCUGAUUUCCGUCCGUCCGUCCGUCCCCCCCCCCCCCCCCNNNNNNNNNNNNNNNNNNNNNNNNNNNNNNNNNNNNNNNNNNNNNNNNNNNNNNNNNNNNNNNNNNNNNNNNNNNNNNNNNNNNNNNNNNNNNNNNNNNNUCAGGGGGCCAGUCUAGCAAGGAAAUGGAUUCCGAGGCAGAAUCAGAAGAAUGUGAUGAUGAAGAAGGCUCUGGAGAAGAUUCAGAAUCCGGACAGACUAGUCUUGCACUAGCAACCAAUUUCGUCAGCAAGUCAAUCUUCAAUCUUGAAGAAAAUGAGUGCACCAUCCAUACUGAUGACUAUGCUGAUGACUUCGCUCCAACCUAUUGCUUCAUGGCAAAAGGUUCAAAGGUAUCACAUAAUGCCUCCUCAUCUGAUUCAAGUGACUGUGAACAUGAUGAUUACAAAAAACCCAGUUACAGUAAACUUGUCAUCAUUGCCACUAAACAACAAACUGCUCUGGAAAAGCUUCAAAAACUGCUAGACAAAAGUGAUGAUCUGUUGAAUGAUGAAAUGAAUCUUAAUCAAAUCCUCGCUGAUGACAUGAAAAAUCUUCAGUCUAGAUUUGAUAUUCUUCAGGAUCGUUAUGAUACACUCCUCACUGAUCAUGAGAAGCUUUCCUACGAAUUUCUUCAAAGGAAGCUUGAUCUUGAGAAGCUGAGGAUGUCUUAUGAUGAUCUUCGUAUGGAAAAUGAUUCAUUACUAGCUCAACAGAUCAGUGCUAGUCAAGUUGAAUUUAUUCCUCCAUGUCUUAAAUGCAUUGAUCGUGAAACUGCUAAUUCUUCACCAGAAUCUUCAAAUGCUACCACUGCUACAAAUACUUCAACUGCACCUGUUGUGUCUAUUUCCUCACUUGAGGAAAACACAAAUGUCACUGAUGAAAAUGCAGGGUUGAAGGAAUUGUACAUGACAGGCAUGUACAAAAGCCUCAAAGGACAUCAAAUCCUUUGUGAUGUGCUCAAAAAGCAGAUCUUGAACAGGAACCCGAGGAAAGAAGGAAUUGCCUUUGAGAGGAAAUUGAAUGCUGAUGGAUCUUAUUGGAAACCUGAGCAGUAUCCCAAAACCUCAUGGGUUGCUGCUACUGGGCCUCCUUUUGAUCCAUCUAAUCUAACUGGCUUCUCAUGUGAAUUAUCCUAUUCCUCGGAUGAGCCAUUUGAUUCCAACUAUAAACUGUUCAAAAAUCAAUCUGGUGAAGUAUUUGCUCGAUAUGUUGGAACUAACUGCACGAAUGGCCCUCCUCUGAGGAAAAUCUGGGUUCCCAAAAGUUGUCUUGAAAAUCUUCAAGUGAAUGUCCUCAUGACAUCACCUCUGAAGAAUCUGAACCCCAGAUCAAAUUCCUCAGGAGGACCAAAGUCUUCAAGAGGAUCAAAAUCCUCAACUGGUCAAAACUAUGCUCGUACCCAUGCUUAUGCGUCUAACAUGCAGGGAAACUACAAGGAAUAUGAUUAUGAGUGCUACACCUCAAAUCAUUAUGUUCAUAAAUCCUCAAACCAGUUCUCUGCAUACUCAUAUGAGUACUUUAACCCCCCUACUGUUAAGAGAAGUGAAUUAGCUUCAAUGCCACCUUUCUCAUAUGGUGCUCGCAGGAUGAUGAACGCUUUGCCACCCCUUCAUAUGUGGGUGGUGAAGAAAUCAAACUAAUCACUUCUGCAGGUCAGGUCUCCAGAUGAAAAUCAUCAUCUGAAGAAUUUGCUGGAGACCUGAGGAAAUGCUUGAUAGGACGCAAGCUAAUGAUUGAUGAAAUAGAAAUAUUUCACACGUCCUUACAUUUCUGUUAUGAUGAAAUCACUGAACUGAUGAAAUUAGUAUCAUAUUCUUCAAACUUGAAGCAUAUGAGAUGGUAAGCUGUACUAAUUCAUCUGCAGGAUGACAAACCCAAAAAUACUGAGUGGGUUCUCGAUAGUGGCUGCACAUAUCACAUGACUGGUGAUAAAAGCCUACUGAUGAAUAUGCCACUAACUCCAUCACCUCUGAAGCAAAUCACAUAUGCUAAUAAAGGUAAAAGCAAGGUAUUGGGACUUGGCAAAGUAGCUAUUUCCAAGGAUAGGCAUAUGGACAAAGUGAUGCUUGUUGAAUCCCUUGGUUUUAACCUCAUGUCAGUCUCGAUGCUCUGUGAUCUUGAUAUGAUUGUUAUCUUUGGUAGAUAUAGAUGUGUAGUCAUCAUGGAAUCUGACAGAUCCAAAGUCUUCGAAGGUGUAAGAAGAGGGGAUUUGUACAUUGUUGACUUCUCUAUAGGUCCUCAACCAGCCACUUGCUUACUAGCAAAAACCUCAGAAGGAUGGCUGUGGCACCGAAGACUAGGUCAUGCAGGCAUGAGGAAUUUGCACACACUUGCAAAGAAGAAGCAUGUCAUUGGCAUCGAAUCAGUCAAAUUCCUCAAGGAUCAUCUAUGUGGUGCUUGUGAAUCUGGGAAAAUGACCAGAUCCAAGCAUCCCUCCAAAACCAUCAUGACCACUACCCGUCCAUUUGAAUUGCUUCAUAUGGAUUUGUUUGGACCUACUCACUAUGCAACACUAACCAAUGCAGCAUCUCUAUAUGGCUUUGUCAUAGUUGAUGAUUAUUCCAGAUACACUUGGGUGCAUAUCAUAGUGUAUAAAACUGAAGUGCAGGAAAUCUUCAAACGAUUUUCUUCAAGGGCAUCAACGAACUUCGGCAUCAAGAUCAAACAUAUCAGGAGUGAUAAUGGAACCGAGUUCAAAAACACUGGUCUUGAUGAUUAUCUUGAUGAACUUGGUAUUACUCACGAAUUGUCUGCUCCUUAUACUCCUCAGCAGAAUGGUGUCGUCGAAAGAAAGAACAGGACUCUGGUUGAAAUGGCAAGAACUAUGCUUGAAGAAUAUCAGACUCCUCGUCGCUUCUGGCCUGAAGCAAUCAACACUGCAUGUCAUAUCAUCAACAGGGUAUAUCUUCACAAAUUCCUCAAGAAAACCUCAUAUGAACUCCUCACUGACAAGAAACCCAAUGUAAGUUAUUUCAAAGUCUUCGGUGCAAAAUGCUGGAUUAGAGAUCCUCAUCAUAGCUCAAAAUUUGCACCUAAGGCACAUGAAGGUUUUAUGCUCGGUUAUGGAAAGGACUCGCACACCUACAGAGUCUUCAACAACUAUCACAACAAAGUUGUUGAGACUGUAGAUGUGCGGUUCGAUGAAACUAAUGGCUCGCAAAGAGAGCAAUUGCCUUCUGAUCCAGAUAAGCUGUCUCCUGAGGAAGCGAUAAAGCUUAAGCCUACUGAAGACAUUGUCCCCACUGAGGAAAUUGGUGAAGAAACAAUCCCCAUCGCUGAUGAAAGUCAAGAAGAUGCUCCUGAGGAAAUUGCAACAGCACCACUUCCUCAGCCCAGACAAAAUCCUCAACCGGCUCAUCCGAGGAUUGCAAAUGAAGUAGAACUUGACAAAAUCCUCAACGAUAUCAACGCGCCAGGUCCUCUCACUUGCUCAAAAGCUUCACACUUAGUUAACUUUUGUGGGCAUUUUUCCUUUGUAUCCAUCACAGAACCCUCAAAAGUAGCUGAGGCUUUUCUGGAACCGGAGUGGAUCCAAGCCAUGCAAGACGAACUUCUUCAAUUCAAGCUGAAUGACGUAUGGGAGCUCAUCAAACGACCAGAUCCUCGCAAGCAUAACAUCAUCGGCACCAAGUGGAUUUUCCGAAACAAGCAAGAUGAGGACGGUCAAGUGGUGAGGAACAAGGCACGACUUGUAGCCCAAGGCUACACCCAGGUUGAAGGAAUAGAUUUCGAUGAAACUUUUGCACCUGUUGCUAGACUUGAAGCUAUUCGAAUUCUACUUGCUUAUGCUAAUCAUCAUAACAUCAUCUUAUAUCAAAUGGAUGUGAAAAGUGCAUUCCUCAAUGGUAAGCUUGAGGAAUAAGUAUAUGUUGCUCAGCCCCCAGGUUUUGAGGAUCCAAAGAAUCCAGACAAAGUCUUCAGACUCAAAAAGGCUCUGUAUGGCCUCAAGCAAGCCCCUCAGGCAUGGUAUGAUACAUUGAAGGAAUUCCUCAUGAAGAAAGGCUUCAAACCUGGUUCACUCGAUCCAACUCUUUUCACAAAAUCUUAUGAUAAUGAACUGUUUGUAUGUCAAAUAUAUGUUGAUGAUAUCAUAUUUGGCUGUACUGACAAAAGAUACAGUGAUGAAUUUGCCUAUAUGAUGAGUGAAGAAUAUCAGAUGUCUAUGAUGGGGGAGCUGAAAUUCUUCUUAGGUCUUCAAAUUCGUCAACAAAGCAAUGGAAUCUUCAUAUCACAGGAGAAAUACCUCAAGGAUGUUCUGAGGAAAUUCGACAUGCAUGAAUGCAAAGGUGCCAAGACUCCAAUGCCUACCAACGGUCACCUCGGCACUGAUGAAAAUGGUAAAGAUUUCGAUCAGCAGGUAUACCGUUCUAUGAUUGGCUCUUUAUUGUAUCUAUGUGCAUCUAGGCCAGACAUAAUGCUUAGCGUUUGCAUGUGUGCACGUUUUCAAGCAAAACCGAAGGAAUCACACCAUAAGGCUAUGAAACAUAUUCUUCGAUACCUAGCUCACACACCAACACUAGGAUUAUGGUAUCCCAAGGGCUCCAAUCUUCAUCUGGUAGGGUAUUCUGAUUCAGACUAUGCUGGUGACCGUGUGGAUCGCAAGUCAACUUCUGGCACAUGCCAUUUCCUCGGAAGAUCAUUGGUUUGUUGGUCCUCAAAGAAGUAGAACUGCGUAUCACUCUCCACUGCCGAAGCUGAGUACAUUGCUGCUGGUUCUUACUGUGCUCAAUUACUAUGGAUGAAGCAAACCCUCAAGGAUUACGGCAUCAACAUGAAGAAUGUGCUUCUCUACUGUGACAAUGAGAGUGCUAUCAAGAUUGCCUACAACCCAGUACAGCACUCGAAGACCAAGCACAUCCAGAUUCGUCAUCAUUUUCUUCGGGAUCAUGUCCUCAAGGGCAAUAUCCUCAUCGACCAUGUGAAGACCGAUGAUCAACUGGCUGAUAUCUUCACUAAGCCCUUGGAUGAGAAAAGGUUUUGCAAGUUGCGGUGUGAGCUAAAUAUCUUAGAGUCUUCAAUGUUUUGUAAAAACAUGCACACAUCCUAACACUUAUGCAAAGUUGAUGACUUAGAUGUGCAACACAUGAUGAAACGAUUUUCUUCAACCAAUGAAGAAAGUCACUCUAAAUGUGAAGAAAUUAACGAAGAAAUUGAUUCUCAGGGCCCUACGACAAUUGUACACGGCGUCUGUAAUCAACAUUCUUAUAUGGUGGGCAACGCCACCGCCCAAUGUGAAAUUCCUCAAGUUGAUUUUCUUCAAAUGAUCAAAUUCCUCACAAUGCAUUUUUCUUCAAAACAGUUGUUCUUCAUUGUGAUGAUCUAUUGCAAAAUCUUCAAAAACACUUGAUGACUUUCAUUUGCCUAGGUAGACUGUGAUUUCUAGUCCUCAACAACAUUCACUUAUUGCUAUUUCUUCAAGUUGAUGUUUCUGCUAAGUGAAUGUGAUCGGACCCUAUUUUCCCUCUAUGCUAUACUUAUCCAGUCUAUUCAAUUCUUCAUAUGUGUUCUACUUGAAACUUUGUUCAAAAUCCUCACUGCAUUCUUGUCAGCUGAUGAUUUUGUAACAAAAAUCCUCAAAUCUUCGAAAAAUUGUUUUCUUCAAAGGAAUAGUAACUGAACCCCCACUUCCCACGAUUGGAUAGCCACGAUCUCCACUAUCUCCACCGCAUCGUACGGGAGCUACACGUGUCCUGCGGAGACGUAGAGGCAAGGGCUAUUCGGUCCGAAACUUUCGCGCCAAACAGUAACUUUCGGGCUAUAAAUAUGUCCUUAUCCCCCUCUGUAUCAUCUUCUUCGCCUCAUCGCUCUCCUACCACAGCACACCGAACCCUAGCGCCACCGCUGGUAGUCUUGUCGCCGGCAAGGAAGAGCUUCACUGCCUCAACCUUCUCGCCGCCAGGAUCACGCCGGAGUCGGAACAUCUACGUCCGUCGCCGCCGUAGACGUCCUCUGCUGCCAAGUUAGGGUGCAUUGGACACUUGACCGAAGAUCCUCUCCAACACCACCUUUUUGUGUUCUUCGUUCGCACCUUCCAGGGUAAAUAUAUCCCAUUUUUACAGCAGAUUAGAUCUAAAAUUUUACCUCUCCCAUGUGAAAUCUGUUUUUCCUCAAGAUACGAUGCGCACAUGAUUCCUCAAACACUAUCCAUCACCACAAUCAUUGAUGAACUAGCUAAGCAUCUAAGAUUUUCACGAGAUUCCUCAAUUGUGCGAAUUUUCGGAUCUGUACAACUCUGGAACCCAAGAACAGAAUGCUUAAGCAAAUUGCUCAACCACUGGUUAUAUUCCUCAAACUGUCAAACUUUUCCAUUUUCUUCAAAUCUGAGAACGCAUAUGACCUCUCCAAAUUCCUCGCAACUAUACUCUGUUCACAGGUACACACAUGUCAGCUGAUGAAUCUCUCGGUUCUCAUCACAUUAACUCAUUUGCAGCGUUUCUGGAAGAAACUCUUCAAGGCUCAUCAGAAUCCUCAAGAGUUCAAAAUCCUCAGAAAGUUCCUCGUCUGAAGAAUAUGGAGGAAGAAAGGAAACAGAAGGGUGGAAAGAAACUGGAGCAGAACACAGUUGUUGAUAUUCCUGAUGACAUAUACCUGGACUAUUGCACGUCUGAUGAUGAACCUGAGACUAUGCCUAAAAUAAAGAUUAGGCUGCAGAAAAUUGAACGCAGAUGGGCAAAGGAGUGGAAGGAGUACAGGUUUGUGACCCCAAAAUAUGCGAAGAAAUUCGCUUUGAAGCCCCCUGGCAGAAGGGCCCCACUUGAGGAUCAUCAAGUAGCUCAUCCCUCAAGUCUUAUGACACUUGAUGACUACCCAGAUGAAAAAGAAAAGCAUCUGGCCAAGCUCAAGAAGCAAGCAGAAACAGCAGUGAAGAAAUUUCAUGAAUCCUCAGCUGCCGCCUCCGGUGCUGCUCAUUCCUCAGCAGCAGAAACCUCAGGCUCCGAGAUUCCUCAACCAGAGUCUGUGCCAACAAAGCCAAAAGCUCCAAAACCGUCAACACCAAAACCAUCAGCGCCAAAACCCUCAGCACCAAUCACAUCUACACCAAAGUCCUCAGCUCCACCUCCAAAGCCAGUACAAAAGAAAGUCGUGAAGACUACGACUGCCAGCUCCAGCUCCUCACUCCCAGCUGCAACUAGCUCGGAGACAAAGUCUUCAACUCCCCUUAUGAAGACUUUGACAACUACUGAACCUGCACCUCUGCCCAGCCCCAGCAAAAUCAUCGCAAUCCCGUCUGCAUCAGAGGGAAGUGAUAAGUAUGAUGAUGAAACUUUGCAAGCCAUCAUCAUAAACAAGCAAGAACGGGUAGCACAAGCAUCAGGCAGUGCUAUUCCUCUGGCCAUGGACCCCAAGGUCCUCCUCGACUUCAUCAAUGUGUGGUAUGAAGACCCAAACACACCCAUUGAUGAUUUGAAACUUCCUCCUGGCGUCGGCCACAUGGUGGCUACCUUCAUAAACGAAGCCAAGUGGAAGGAACAGAAGGCCAAGCAGGCAAAGAUUGCAAAGGCCAGAAAGGAGAAAUUCCUCAGGCAAAAUGUUCUCAAGCUGACGCCUGAAGCUUUGGUGUCCACCCACGCAGAGCUGCAAGUCUUGACUGACAAGUGUAAGAAACUGUCAGACCGCACAAGCAUCAAACGCAAUUCCAUCAAGCUAGCCACUAGUGCUGUUGAUGACUACAACAAACGUCACCCCCCACCAGCACCGACUCCUCAGCCCCUGGUUGAACAGCCAGAAGAUGCAUCUCCUGAUGAGGAGGAAAUUCCUCAAGCUGAGGAACAACACCAAGAGCGCCGUGCUGAUGAGCCGGCCAUUGAAGAAAUCAUCACCGAGACCGCUCCUGAUGAAUCUGCAACCCCUGAUGAAACUGCUCCUGAUCCAGCUGCUUCAUCAAAGCAGGCUGGUGACUCUGUUCCAGCUGGUUCCUCACACCAGCUGAAGAAUCUGUUGAGAAAACACCUUCACCAAAAACUUCAAGGGUGAAGAAAUUAAUCCCGUCUGCAUCAGACGCGAAAAAGACAAGAGCUGCUGAGAAGGAAGCAAAGAAGAGAAAAGCUUCCUCAGCAGAAGAAAAGAUUGAGGCAAAACGCCUCAAGGAAACUGAAGAAUCUGCCCCUCUGGACCCGGUGCCUCUUAAUGUUGCACCCUCAUAUGAAAUGGUCGUCCUUGGUGACCACACUACAAGGGCAGAUGAGGAAAUGAAGGAUGCUGCCUCUGAGGAGCAUACAGAUGAGGAAAUACAAAUUGAUGACAGUCCUCAACCUCAUAUUCCUCAGAAAGGGACUACUGAAGCUUCAGCUGCAGCAGCUGAUGAAUCUGCUUCUGCCACAAAGUCAGCUAAUGAAAAUCAAGCUGAAGAAAAUGUCCAGUCUGAGAAAGCUCCUCCCACUGAACAGGCUGACCAAACUCCUCAAGCUGAGAAGGAAGAAGAAAUUCCUCAGCCUGAUGCUCAGUCUGAGCAAGAAAUUCCUCAACCUGAGGAAACUGCUGAAGAAAAUGUUCCCGCCCCUGACAAUGAAUUCAUUGUGCUCAACCCAGAGACUGCCAUGGUUGUUUCCCCUCCCAUUCCUCAGCACAAUCUCAAUCCAGUUCAGCGCCUGCCAUUCUCAAAGCGGCCAAAGUUUCAGAAAGAGAAUUUAUUUGAGGAACGCAUGUAUUUCAUCAGAGAGAAUCCUUAUGACAAGCCUCAAAUGAGGCAUCUGAAGUUUUGGACAAGGACUCAGAUGAACUACUAUGCUUCUGUGCUCUGUGGCCGCAACAAGAUAUUCCAGCACAGGCACAUUCCUCAUGAUGAACUUGAAGAGAUUCCCUGCAUGGAACCAGUCCUCAGUGUACUACAUGAUGCAGGUUUGCUCCCUAUGUGCUCCGACAUAUCAGAUUGGAAUAGUGAGCUAAUUCUUCAGUUCUAUUCGACUAUGCACAUCUCGGGCAAUGCUGAUGACAUCAACACUUGGGUGUUCGACUGGAUGACCCAAAAUACUCACUACAAGGCUCCAGCGUCUGAACUCCUCAGAGAACUGCCCGUACCAAUUCCUUCAGAAGGGGCAGUGAAGCUUUAUGGUGAGCGUGAGCUGCCAAAUGGAAUGAUGGAGUCCUCAUGAAGCCUUUGGCUGCAGGAAAACCCUCAAGAACCACAUUCCGCGUCCAUGAGCUCAAGUACACACCCCGGUCUGUCUACCGCAUUCUCUGCAGUGUGCUAGCGCCAAUUAAAGGCCAUGAUGAUGACGAAGAUGUCGUCGGUCUCAUGAAGAAUAUCCUCUUCAACAUCAUUCACGGUAUCCCCAUGAAUAUCCAUGAUUUAUUCUUGAGGACUUUGGCUGACAAUGCAAUGUGCCCAUAUGAUCACACAAUUUAUGCACCAUGGAUCAUGAGAUUCCUCAGGACAAGGACAGGCAUCAACUUUCACGCAAAUUUCCAGAACCAUGUUGGUUAUAUGCCUCCUAUCCGGGUCAACAAGAAGACUUUCGAGCCCAUUGAGGGAAAAGGAAAGUAUGUAAUUGAUGAAGGAAGCAGGCCUCUUGAUGGUCAAUUUAAGGAGCCAGAUGCAUAUUCCUCAUGGGACGAUACUGAGACUCGUCCACCAAGCCCAGUUCCUCCUCGCGUUCUAAACACCAGAGAGCUUCUUCUCAGUCUUCAUCAGAAGGUGGAUCACAACCACAAAUGGGUCAAACGCCAGUUUGGUGCCAUUGUGAAAACCCUCACUGAGACACAGAACAGUGUGAAGCUUAAUCAUCAUAUCUGCAUGAGGUUUUUGAUCGCACCUGGGCUACCCUUGCCCAUCUGAAGACCCAGACUGAGCUUAAAGAAUUGAACUUUGAGCAGGACUUUGACUGGUCGUGGCCUCCCAAGAAGAAGUUCAGGCCCAUUCCAGUGCCAGAUCUUGAAGGCAGCUCCUUCUCGUCCUUCCGCACCGCCGAAUCUGAUGAGGAACAACUCGACACCGCAACAGGCCCAAGGAAGAAGACUACACCCAAGAAGCGCCAAGGAUCUUCAUCAACCGCCAAGAACUGAAGUCUUCACGGGCGUUAGGCCUCAGUUUGUCCCUUUUUGUCACUUGAUGACAAAGGGGGAGAAACUUGAGAGUUAGUUUUCAAACGGGAGUUAUUUUUGGGGCUUAUGAACUAUAUUUACGUUACAAACUCUUGGCUCUUCUGAAGUUUUUAUGUAAUGAGUUGUAACUUAAGCCCGAUGGUACUCUCACGCUUUUUGAACGUUUUUCUUUGCAUGCUUAUUCCUCAAGUUUUAAUGCACGCAUGCUGGAAUUCGUCAGAUACCAUUAGCCAUCAUGCAUCUUCAUUUUCUUCAUAUGAUAUGUUAUAUGUAUGCAUGAUUUACAAGAUUCAGGGGGAGAUCUCCAUGAUAUAAAUCAUCAAUGUGCAUAUGCUAUAAAAGCAAAAUCCUCAAGGUAUGCACAUCUUCAGGGGGAGUCUCUGUGAAUCUUGUCUUCAAAUUCCUCAAAUUAAGUAUUUACACUUCACAUUUUUAUUCCCUGUUGAAGACUUAACCUAAUUGUCAUCAACCACCAAAAAGGGGGAGAUUGUAAGUGCAUCUAGUGCCCCUUAGUGAUUUUGGUGGUUUGAAGACUUAUAGGUUAAGUAUCUAAUGUGUUUAUAAGUGUACACAGGAUCUAUAAGUCAUUGAGGAGUUUGAGAUAUUUGAAGAAUAUCGACCCCUAAAAAUAUAUGUCUUCAGUUGAAGAAAUUGGUCUGAAGCUGAAGAAAUGAAUCGCGAAGAAUUUGCGAUGAAAUUGAUAUUCCUCAUGAAGAUAUUGAUAUUGAGAAGAUCGGUGGUUCCUGAAGAAAAUCGUUCUGAAGAAAUUGAAGCAUGAAGAUUUAUGUUUUCUGUUUUACUUUCUUCGCAUUUGAUGAAUAGGAACACCGUACUGUUAAAGGGGGUCAAAGUAACGCUAUGGAAUGAAUUUCCUCAUGAUGCUCAACCCAAGCCAAAUCCUACCAAAAGCCUCAAGUGAGGAAUAUGAGUGACAUGAGGACUCUCACAGUUGAGGGUCCCGACCGUUUCGAUAGCCACGCCAAGUCACUGGUCUUAUCCACUCCAACGGUCAUAUUAUUUAAGGGCAUUAAUGUCAAAUCAUGUCGGGAUGCUCCCAGGCUAUAAAUAGCCACCCCCCACAACCACUAGCUGGUUGGCUGCUCUGUUAGAAACUGACACUUGUCAUAAGAGCAACCCAAAUUCCUCAGAGCUUUCGAGAGUAAAUCAUCAGUGAAGAAAUACACCACCCACCGAAACCACAAACCAAACCUAGUGAUUGAGCAUCACUGAAGAAGUUGUUCCUGUGUGGGACUGAAGCCUUUUACCUUUGAGGACUGUGCAUCCUCCAGACGGUUAGGCGUCAUGGUCUAGAGCAAUCCAGCAGUCAAUUGUGGAUCGCCGGGUGACCGCGUUUGUGAGGGUUUGGAAGUCUGCCCUGAAGACUUACCACGAGUGUUGGGCGAGGACUGUGUGUCCUUAGCUCAAGGAGAGUACGGUAGGGACUGUGUGUCCCGGGACUGGGUGUCCUUUGGUUUCAAUACCAAGCCGCUCCAAACCAGAUGUACAACUGUCACAGCAGUUGGAACUGGGUCAUCAACAACAGUCUUCACCAAGAAUCGGGUUCUAAUUCCUCAACUCUUUACAUUCUCUGUAUUAUGUGUUGAUGACAUUCACUGUGACUGUUUGAAGAAUUUGCUGAAGACUUUCUCUGAAUUUCCUCAACCCCAAAUUCUUCACUUGAGUUAAACAUCAUCUGUAUUCUGCGUGCCUGCUUACUGUGCAAUCUGUUUUCAUAAUCUUCACUCUGCAAUACUGCUGUUGUGAACGAUUGCACGACUGAUCCUUAACUGUUUCCGCUGUAAGUUAGUCAUCAGUGAGGAAUUUCCUCAACAGGAAUUUCCUCAGUGAUGAAAUUCUAAAAAUCUCCUAUUCACCCCCCNNNNNNNNNNNNNNNNNNNNNNNNNNNNNNNNNNNNNNNNNNNNNNNNNNNNNNNNNNNNNNNNNNNNNNNNNNNNNNNNNNNNNNNNNNNNNNNNNNNNACUAGGGACAGUGUUUUGUCUAUGUAUCCACACAAGUAUUGUGUUUCCAAUCAAUACAAUUAUAGCAUGGAUAAUAAAUGAUUAUCAUGAACAAAUAAAUAUAAUAAUAACUAAUUUAUUAUUGCCUCCAGGGCAUAUUUCCAACAGUCUCCACUUGCACUAGAGUCAAUAAUCUAGUUCACAUCACCAUGUGAUUCCAACGAAUCCAACACACAUAUAGUUAUGGGGUCUGAUCACGUCUUGCUCAUGAGAGAGGUUUUAGUCAACGGUUCUGAAAUUUUCAGAUCCUUGUGUUCUUUACAAAUCUUUAUGUCAUCUUAUAGAUGCUGCUACUAUGUGCUAUUCGGAAAUACUCCAAAUAUCUACUCUACUAUACGAAUCCGUUUCACUACUCAUAGUUAUUCGGAUUAGUGUCAAAGCUUAUAUCGACGUAACCCUUUACGAUGAACUCUUUAACCACCUCCAUAAUCGAGAAAAAUUCCUUAGUCCAUCAGUUACUACGGAUAAAUUUUGACCGCUGCUAGUGAUUCAAUCAUGGAUCACUCUCUGUAUCUCUCAACAGACUUGCUGCAAGGUACACAUCAGGUGCGGUACUCAGCAUGGCAUACUUUAGAGUCUACGGCUAAGGCAUAGAAGACGACCUUCGUCUAUUCUCUUUAUUCUGCCGUGGUCGGGUUCUGAGUCUUACUCAAAUUCACACCUUACAACGCAACCAAGAACUCCUUCUUUGCUGAUCUAUUUUGAACUCCUUCAAAACUUGUCAAGGCAUGCAUCUUGUUGAAACUUCCAUUAAGCGCUUUCGAUCUAUCUCCAUAGAUCUUUGAUGCUCAACGUUCAAGUAGCUCAAUCCAGGUAUUCCUUUGAAAACUCCUAUCAAACAACCUUGUAUGCUUUACAGAAAUUCUACAUUACUUCUGAUCCACAAUAUGUCUACCACAUAUACUUAUCAGAAAUUCUAUAGUGCUCCCACUCACUUCUUUGGAAAUACAAGUUUCUCAUAAACCUUGUACAAACCCAAAAUCCUUGACCAUCUCAUCAAAGUGUAUAUUCCAACUCCGAGAUGCUUGCACCAGUCCAUUUAAGGAUCGCUGGAGCUUGCAUACUUGCUAGUAUCUUUAGGAUCGACAAAACCUCAUGGUUGUAUCUCAUACAAUGUUUGCUCAAGGAAACCGUCGAGGAAACAAUGUUUUGACAUCCUUCAUGCAAUAUUUCAUAAAUAAUGCAGCAACUACUAACAUAAUUCUAACAGACUUUUAGCAUCGCUAUGAGUGAGAAAGUCUCAUCAUAGUCAACUUUUUGAUCUUGUCGGAAACAUCUUUGUGACAAGUCGAGCUUUACUUAAUAGUGACUUAUCACUAUCAUCGUCUGUCUUCCUUUUAAAGAUCCAUCUUUACUCAAUAGUCCUAUGACCAUCAAGUAGUUCUUCCAAAGUCUACACUUUGUUUUCAUACAUGGAUCCUCUCUCGGAUUUCAUGGCUUCCAGCCAUUUGUCGGAAUCUGGGCCCACCAUUGCUUUCUCCAUAACUCGUAGGUUCACUGUUGCUCAACAACAUGACCUCGAAGACAGGGUUACCGUACCACUCUGUAGUAGUACGCGACCUUGUCAACCUACGAGGCUUGUAGUAACCUGAUCCGAUGCUCGAUGAUCACCAUCAUCAACUUUCACGUCAAUUGGUGUAGGCGCCACAGGAACAACUUCCUGCGCCCUGGUACACACUGGUCGAAGUGAUGGUUCAAUAACCUCAUCAAGUUCUACCACCCUCCCACUCAAUUCUUUCGAGAGAAACCUUUCCUCGAGAAAGGAUCCGUUUCUAGAAACAAACACUUUGCUUUCGGAUCUGAGAUAGGAGAUGUACCCAACUGUUUUGGAUAUCCUAUGAAGAUGCAUUUAUCCGCUUUGGGUUCGAGCUUAUCAAACUAAAACUUUUUCACAUAAGUGUCGAAACCCCAAACUUUCAAGAAACGACAGUUUAGAUUUCUCUAAACCUCAGUCUAUACUGUGUCAUCUCAACGGAAAUACGUGGUGCCCUAUUUAAAGUGAAUGCGGUUGUCUCUAAUGCUUAACCCAUAAACGAUAGUGGUAAUUCGAUAAGAGACAUCAUAGCAUGCACCAUACCAAAUAGUGUGUGGCUAUGACGUUCAGAAACAUCAUCACACUCUAAUGUUCUAGGUGGCAUGAACUGCGAAACAAUUUCCACAUUGUCUUAACUGCGUACCAAAACUCGUUACUCUGAUAUUCAUUUCUAUGAUCAUAUCGUAGAUAGUUUAUCCUCUUGUUACGACGAACUUCACUCCGAAAUAGGAUUGAACUUUUCAAUAUUUCAGACUUGUGAUUCAUUAAGCAAAUACUCUAGUAUCUACUCAAAUCGUCAUUGAAGUAAGAACAUAAUGAUAUCCACUGCGUGCCUCAGCACCCAUUGAACUGCAUACAUCAAAAUGUAUCACUUCCAACAAGUUACUAUCUUAUUUCAUCUCAAUGAAAACAAGGCCUUGCUCAUGUGGUAUGAUUUGCAUGUCACUAGUGAUUUAAAAUCAAGUGAGUAUAAAGAUCCAUCAGCAUGGAGCCUCUUCAUGCAAUUUAUACCAACAUGACUCAAGCGGCAGUGCCACAAGUAAGUGGUACUAUCAUCAUUACCUCGUAUCUUUUGGCACCAAUAUCAUGAACAUGUGUAACACUACGAUCGAGAUUCAAUAAACCAUUGAAGGUGAUUAUUCAAGAAAAUAGAGUAACCAUUAUUCUCUUUAAAUGAAUAAUCGUAUUGCAAUAAACACGAUCCAAUCAUGUUCAUGCUUAACGCAAGCACCAAAUAACAAUUAUUUAGGUUUAACACCAAUCCCGAUGGUAGAGGGAGCGUGCGACGUUUGAUCAUAUCAACCUUGGAAAUACUUCCAACACGUAUCGUCACCUCGCCUUUAGCUAGUCUCCGUUUAUGCCGUAGCUUUCAUUUCGUGUUACUAAUCACUUAGCAACCGAACCGGUAUCCAAUACCCUAAUGCUACUAGGAGUACUAGUAAAGUACACAUCAACAUCAUGUAUAUCAAAUAUACUUCUUUCGACUUUUGCCAGCCUUCUUAUCUACCAAGUAUCUAGAGUUGCUCCGCCUCAGUGACUGUUCCCCUCAUUACAGAAGCACUUAGUCUCGGGUUUGGGUUUAAUCUUGGGUCUCUUCAUUAGUGCAGCAACUGUUUUGCCGUUGCACGAAGUAUCCCUUCUAGCCCUUGCCUUUCUUGAAACUUAGUGGUUUUACAAACCAUCAACUAUUGAUGCUCCUUCUUGAUUUCUACUUUCGCAGUGUCAAACAUCGCGAAUCGCUCAAGGAUCAUUGUAUCUAUCCUUGAUAUGUUAUAGUUCAUCACGAAGCUCUCACAGCUUGGUGGCAGUGACUUUGGAGAACCAUCACUAUCUCAGCUGGAAGAUUAACUCCCACUUGAUUCAAGUGAUUGUCGUACUCAGACAAUCUGAGCACACGCUCAACGAUUGAGCUUUUCUCCUUUACUUUGUGGACAAAGAAUCUUGUCGGAGGUCUCGUACCUCUCAACAAGGGCACGAGCAUGAAAUCACAAUUUCAUCUCUUUAGAACAUCACUUAUGUUCCGUGACGUUUCAAAACGUCUUCGGUGCCUUGCUUCUAAGCCAUUAAGUAUUUUGCACUGAACUAUCGUGUAGUCAUCAGAAACGUGUAUGUCGGAUGUUCACAGCAUCCACAGACGACGCUCGGGGUGCAGCACACCGAGUGGUGCAUUAAGGACAUAAGCCUUCUGCGCAGCAACGAGGACAAUCCUCUUCAAAGUUUGCUACUAUCAACUUUCAACUAAAUUUUCUCUAGGAACAUAUAAAAAACAGUAGAGCUAUAGCGCAAGCUACAUCGUAAUUCGCAAAGACCAUUAGACUAUGUUCAUGACAAUUAGUUCAAUUAAUCAUAUUACUUAAGAACUCCCACUCAAAAAGUACAUCUCUCUAGUCAUUUGAGUGGUACAUGAACCAAAUCCACUAUCUCAAGUCCGAUCAUCACGUGAGUCGAGAAUAGUUUCAGUGGUAAGCAUCUCUAUGCUAAUCAUAUCAACUAUACGAUUCAUGCUCGACCUUUCGGUCUCAUGUGUUCCGAGGUCAUGUCUGCACAUGCUAGGCUCGUCAAGCUUAACCCGAGUGUUCUGCGUGUGCAACUGUUUUGCACCCAUUGUAUGUGAACGUUGAGUCUAUCACACCCGAUCAUCACGUGGUGUCUCGAAACGAAGAACUGUCGCAACGGUGCACAGUCGGGGAGAACACAAUUUCGUCUUGAAAUUUUAGCGAGAGAUCACCUCAUAAUGCUACCGUCGUUCUAAGCAAGAUAAGGUGCAAAAAGGAUUAACAUCACAUGCAAUUUAUAAGUGACAUGAUAUGGCCAUCAUCAUGCGCUUCUUGAUCUCCAUCACCAAAGCACCGGCACGAUCUUCUUGUCACCGGCGUCACACCAUGAUCUCCAUCAUCAUGAUCUCCAUCAACGUGUCGCCAUCGGGGUUGUCGUGCUACUCAUGCUAUUACUACUAAAGCUACGUCCUAGCAAUAUAGUAAACGCAUCUGCAAGCACAAACGUUAGUUUAAAGACAACCCUAUGGCUCCUGCCGGUUGCCGUACCAUCGACGUGCAAGUCGAUAUUAACUAUUACAACAUGAUCAUCUCAUACAUGCAAUAUAUCACAUCACAUCGUUGGCCAUAUCACAUCACAAGCAUACCCUGCAAAAACAAGUUAGACGUCCUCUAAUUUUGUUGUUGCAUGUUUUACGUGGUGACCAUGGGUAUCUAGUAGGAUCGCAUCUUACUUACGUAAACACCACAACAGAGAUAUAUGAAUUGCUAUUUAACCUCAUCCAAGGACCUCCUCGGUCAAAUCCGAUUCAACUAAAGUUGGAGAAACUGACACUUGCCAGUCAUCUUUGAGCAACGGGGUUACUCGUAGCGAUGAAACCAGUCUCUCGUAAGCGUACGAGUAAUGUCGGUCCAUGCCGCUUCAAUCCAACAAUACCGCGGAAUCAAGAAAAGACUAAGGAGGGCAGCAAAACGCACAUCACCGGCCACAAAAACUUUUGUGUUCUACUCGAGAAGACAUCUACGCAUGAACCUAGCUCAUGAUGCCACUGUUGGGGAACGUCGAACGGGAAACUAAAAUUUUCCUAAGCGCACGAAGACCUAUCAUGGUGAUGUCCAUCUACGAGAGGGGAUUUCCGAUCUACGUACCCUUGUAGAUCGCACAACAGAAGCGUUAGUGAAUGCGUUUGAUGUAGUGGAACGUCCUCACAUCCCUCGAUCUGCCCCGCGAACCGUCCCGCGAUCGGUCCCACGAUCUAGUGCCGAACGGACAGCACCUCCGCGUUCAGCACACGUACAGCUCGACGAUGAUCUCGGCCUUCUUGAUCCAGCAAGAGAGACGGAGAGGUAGAAGAGUUCUCCGGCAGCGUGACGGCGCUCCGGAGGUUGGUGAUGAUCUUGUCUCAGCAGGGCUCCGCCCGAGCUCCGCAGAAACGCGAUCUAGAGGAAAAACCGUGGAGGUAUGUGGUCGGGCUGCCGUGGAAAAGUCGUCUCAAAUCAGCCCUAAAACCUCCGUAUAUAUAGGUGGGAGAGGGGGGGCCUUGCCUUGGGGCUCAAGGAGCCCCAAGGGGGUCGGCCGAGCCAAGGGGGGAAGGUCUCCCCCCCCCCCAAACCGAGUCCUACUUGGUUUGGUGGGUGGAGUCCUUCUUCCCUUUCCCACCUCCUCCUUUUUUUUCUUUUCUCUUUGAUUUUCUUCCUAUGGCGCAUAGGGCCUUCUUGGGCUGUCCCACCAGCCCACUAAGGGCUGGUGUGCCACCCCCAAGGCCUAUGGGCAUCCCCGGGGUAGGUUGCCCCCCCGGUGAACACCCGGAACCCAUUCGUCAUUCCCGNNNNNNNNNNNNNNNNNNNNNNNNNNNNNNNNNNNNNNNNNNNNNNNNNNNNNNNNNNNNNNNNNNNNNNNNNNNNNNNNNNNNNNNNNNNNNNNNNNNNAGAAGAAGAAGAAGAAGCAACUCCAAAUGAACAAUCAACGCGCUCGCGUCAAGUAACCUUUACCUGUACCUGCAACUGUUGUUGUAGUAAUCUGUGAGCCACAGGGGACUCAGCAAUCUCAUUUCCAAAGGUAUCAAGACUAGCAAAGCUUAAUGGGUGAGGCAUGGUUAAGUGGUGAGGUUGUAGCAGCGGCUAAGCAUAUAUUUGGUGGCUAAACUUACGAGUACAAGAAAAUAAGAGGGGGAAGAUCUACGCAUAACGGACGUGAGCUACUGAUGAUCAAAUGAAUGAUCCUGAACACCUACCUACGUUAGACAUAACCCCACCAUGUCCUCGAUCGGAGAAAGAACUCACGAAAGAGACAGUCACGGUUACGCACACAGUUGGCAUAUUUUAAUUAAGUUAACUUCAAGUUAUCUAGAACCAGUGUUAAACAAAGUUUCCACGUUGCCACAUAACCGCGGGCACGGCUUUCCGAAAAGAUUUAACCCUGCAGGGGUGCUCCAACUAGUCCAUCACAAAUUAUCACAAGCCGCAUAGAAAUCCUCAAUCACGAAGCUCGCGAUCUCGUCGGAUUCCCUAGUGGAAAACCUCAACUCUGAGAUUACCCAAAGCAUCACCGGAAUCCCGAUGCACAAGAUAUCUCGUCAAAGGUAAAACUAAUCCAGCAAGGCCUCCCGACGUGUCGACGAUCCCGAUAGGAGCCGCGUAUCUCGUUCUCAGGACACGAUGGAUAAGCGAAGCAUACGAGUGCCAAACCUCGAGUUUCCUCGCGGUGGCCCCGCACAGUGCUCUGUUUUGGACCAGCACCAUCAGCACUGUCCCUCCCUGUAUUAUGUAGAAUUACUCCCCGGGUAGCGAUAACUCCCUAUGCAUUUCAGUAUUAUCAUUUCAUUAUGUUGGGCAAAUGUAGAACCAAAGUUGGGCCUUGCCAGACCAACUUUAAUCUAAAACGAAUUAUCAAGGGGGUCCCCAUAACAACCCCGAUCGUGUUAGGAGCGCUCAAUUAUGGAACAUAACACCGGUAUCCGAAACUAAGGGGGCAAAGGUGGAAAAAAACACCAGGCUAGAAAGGCCGAGCCUUCCACCUUUUACCAAGUAUAUAGGUGCAUUAAAGUAAAUAGCAUUAAUAUGGUGAUAUGAUAAGGAACCCAUGUUAUCACAUGGAAGCAACUGCACCUGCAACUAGCAACACUAUCAACGGGGUUAAGCAAGCAGUAACAUAUCCAAUCAGUGGUUUGCUAGGUUGAACAGGUUGAAGGUUUUCAUGGCAUUGUUGAGAGGCUGAUAUUUAACAUGUGGUAGGCAACGAGGCAUAAUCGAUAGAAACGGUAAUCUAGCAUGGCAAUGAUAGUAAUGGUAUCUGGGGAAAUGGUCAUCUUGCCUGAGAUCCCGCUUGGAAGAAGAAUGCCUCCGUGAAGCAGACGAACCGACGUAGUCGAACGGGUCCUCACAAUCCGGCACGCUGCGGAACUCUACCGAGACGGGGAAAACCGGAAACAAGCAUCAACACACGAUAUUCACCACACGAUGCACAACACAUAUGAUGCAUGAACGGUCUAAUGCAAGGCAUGACAAUCACAACAAUCCAACCCUACACAUUAAGUGAAGUUCAAUAUGCAACGAGNNNNNNNNNNNNNNNNNNNNNNNNNNNNNNNNNNNNNNNNNNNNNNNNNNNNNNNNNNNNNNNNNNNNNNNNNNNNNNNNNNNNNNNNNNNNNNNNNNNNAACGAUAAGAUCUUCGUAGAAUAUGUAGGAUCCAAUAUGGGCAUCCAGGUCCCGCUAUUGGAUAUUGACCGAGGAGUCCCUCGGGUCAUGUAUACAUAGUUCUCGAACCUGCAGGGUCUGCACACUUAAGGUUCGACGUUGUUUUAUGCGUAUUUGAGUUAUAUGGUUGGUUACCGAAUGUUGUUCGGAGUCCCGGAUGAGAUUACGGACGUCACGAAGGUUUCCGAAAUGGUCCGGAGACGAAGAUUGAUAUAUAGGAUGACCUCAUUUGAUUACCGGAAAGUUUUCGGCAUUACCGGGAAUGUACCGGGAGUGACGAAUGGGUUCCGGAUGUUCACCGGGGGGGGGGGCAGCCCACCCCGGGGAAGCCCAUAGGCCUUAGGGGUGCCGCACCAGCCCUUAGUAGGCUGGUGGGCAAGCCCAAGAAGCCCAUGCACAGGAUAAGAAAAAAUCAAAAAAUGGGGAAGUGGGAAGGAAGGGAAGGACUCCACCUUCCAAUCCUAGUUGGACUAGGAUUGGAGGAGGAUUCCUCCCGCCCCUUCGGCCGACCCCCUUGGGGCUCCAUGAGCCUCAAGGCAAGGCCCCUCCCCUCCCACCUAUACAUACAGAGGUAUUAGGGCUGAUUUGAGACAACUUUGCCACGGCAGGCCGACCACAUACCUGCACGUGUUUUCCCUCUAUAUCGCGUUUCUGCAGAGCUCGGGCGGAGCCCUGCUGAGAUUAGAUCAUCACCAACCUUCGGAGCGUCGUCACAUUGUCGAAGAACUCAUCUACCUCUCCGUCUCUCUUGCUGGAUCAAGAAGGCCGAGAUCAUCGUCGAGCUGUACGUGUGCUGAACGCGGAGGUGCCGUCCGUUCGGCACUAGAUCGGAGCGGAUCGUGGGACGGAUCGCAGGACGGUUCGCGGGGCGGAUUGAGGGACAUGAGGACGUUCCACUACAUCAAUCGCGUUUAUUAAUGUUGGGGAACGUCGCGUGGGAAACAAAAAUUUACCUACGCGCACGAAGACCUAUCAUGGUGAUGUCCAUCUACGAGAGGGGAUGAGUGAUCUAUGUACCCUUGUAGACCAUACAACAGAAGCGUUAGAGAAUGCGAUUGAUCUAGUGGAACGUCCUCACGUCCCUCGAUCCGCCCCGUGAACAAUCCCGCGAUCAGUCCCACGAUCUAGUACCGAACGGACGGCACCUCCGCGUUCAGCACACGUACAGCUCGACGAUGAUCUCGGCCUUCUUGAUCCAGCAAGAGAGACGGAGAGGUAGAAGUGUUCUCCGGCAGCAUGACGGCGCUCCGGAGGUUGGUGAUGACCUUGUCUCAGCAGGGCUCCGCCCGAGCUCCGCAGAAACGCGAUCUAGAGGAAAAACCGUGGAGGUAUGUGGUCGGGCUGCCGUGGAAAAGUCGUCUCAAAUCAGCCCUAAAACCUCCGUAUAUAUAGGUGGGAGGGAGGGGACCUUGCCUUGGGGCUCAAGGAGCCCCAAGGGGGUCGGCCGAGUCCAAGGGGGAGGACUCUCCCCCCCCAAACCGAGUUGGACUAGGUUUGGUGGGAGGGAGUCCCCCUUCCUUCCCACCUCCUCCCUUUUUUUUUCUUUCUCUCUUGAUUUUCUUCUCCUUGGCGCAUAGAGCCUUUUGGGCUGUCCCACAAGCCCACUAAGGGCUGGUGUGCCACCCUCAAGGCCUAUGGGCUUCCCCGGGGUGGGUUGCCCCCCCCCCCCGGUGAACUCCCGGAACCCAUUCGUCAUUCCCGGUACAUUCCCGGUAACUCCGAAAACCUCCCGGUAAUCAAAUGAGGUCAUCCUAUAUAUCAAUCUUCGUUUCCGGACCAUUCCGGAAACCCUCGUGACGUCCGCGAUCUCAUCCGGGACUCNNNNNNNNNNNNNNNNNNNNNNNNNNNNNNNNNNNNNNNNNNNNNNNNNNNNNNNNNNNNNNNNNNNNNNNNNNNNNNNNNNNNNNNNNNNNNNNNNNNNAUAUAGGGGCAAAUCCACUUGCCAAUAAGUGCCCGAGCCUUCCUGAAGCUAGUCUUCUUGUGUGAAGAGGACUUUGAAGAUGAGGAUUUUGAAGAUUUCUUCUUCUUCUUUGAGUCAUCAGAACUGUCAUCCUUGUAUUUCUUCUUCUUUGAUUCCUUUCCCCAGCGAGGACAAUCAGCAAUGUAAUGACCUGAUUUCUUGCACUUGUGACAGGUCCGUUUCUUGUAGUCCUUAGAUGCAGAUUCUGAUUUCCUCAUGUCUCUUCUUGAUGAUUUACCGAACUGGCCUCGUCGUGUAAAUCUCUGGAAUUUCCUCACAAGCAUUGCAAGUUCCUGACCAAAUUCUUCAGGGUCACAACUGCUGUCAUCUGUGUCUUCUUCUUCAGAUGAGGAAAUUGCUCUUGCCUUCAGUGCACGUGGUCUGGAAUAGCUUUGUCCAUAUAGAUCUCUCUUUUCUUCUAGCUGGAACUCAUGAGUAUUUAGCCUUUCAAGGAUAUCAGCAGGAUCUAGCAUCUUGUAGUCUGGUCUUUCUUGGAUCAUCAGAACUAAAGUGUCAAAUGAAGAAUCCAAAGAUCUCAGCAGUUUCUUCACAACUUCGUGAUUAGUGAUGUCUCGAGCUCCCAGUGCUUGCAGUUCAUUUGAUAUGUCAGUGAGGCGAUCAAAGGUGUCUUGGCAGCUUUCAUUGUCAUGUCUCUUGAAGCGAUUGAAGAGAUUGCGAAGAAUAUCAACACGAGAGUCGCGUUGGGUUGAUACUCCUUCAUUUACCUUGCACAGUCUCUCCCAGAUCAGUGUUGCACAGCCUAAGACACUUACUCUUCCAAACUGGCCAGGGCUCAGAUGACCACAGAUGAUGUUCUUCGCUUGAGAAUCGAGUUGCUUGAAUUUCUUCACAUCAACUGCACUGACACUAGCAGAAAUGAUGGGGACACCAUUUUCCACAAUAUACCAGAGAUCAUUGUCUAUAGCUUGUAGAUGCAUUUGCAUUUUGUUCUUCCAGAAGGGAAAAUUCUUUCCCUCGUAGGUAGGACAUGUUGCAGUCACCUUAAACAUGCCUGCAGUCGACAUAACUAAAACUCCAGGUGGUUAAACCAAAAUCACACAGAACAAGGGAGUAGAUUGCUCUGAUACCAAUUGAAAGUGCGUUAUAUCGACUAGAGGGGGGUGAAUAGGAGANNNNNNNNNNNNNNNNNNNNNNNNNNNNNNNNNNNNNNNNNNNNNNNNNNNNNNNNNNNNNNNNNNNNNNNNNNNNNNNNNNNNNNNNNNNNNNNNNNNNGCAUCAUGGCAAGCAAUCUACACAUAAAGAACAUCUCCAACGGAGCUACGGAACAAAAGAUACAAGCACCGCAAGAUAUGAUGGCAUGAAUGCAGUAUGUGUGCAACGAUGGUCACGAGCACUUCAAAACAUACAACCAGCAAGAUAAAAUGAAACUACACGAGAUUCUAAGCAAGUUUCAUGUAGGACAUGAUCAAAUCGGAGCUACGGAUCAAAAUCUACGAGCAAAACGAGAAAUCACUACAAUCUGCCAAAAUCCGCCACAUAGCAUAUUCUACACCCCACAACUACGGGCUACACAACUCCGAUAUGCUCAAGCAAGGCAUGGAACGAAAGAGGGCAAGAAGCACUAUUACAAACAACUAACAACUACUAGCAUGGCAUCAUGGAUCACUAGGGAAAGAAGUCACAAAAUGGCAUCUCAUGCACUAUUUCAGACUUAGUGAAAAUUACACCUCAUGAAGGUGCAGUUUUCGAUCUGAAGCAAUAUUGACAGCAGCAAAACCUAUAGCUACAGGACUCCAAAUGGCAUGAAAAUUCAUAGCAUGCUAGAGAAACACAAGGGCUACAACUUACUCCAUUGGACCAACCUCAAAAGAGCUACGGAUCUAAAGAUAGAAGCAAAACAAAACAGCAACAAAAUAUAACAGAUUCCAGACUUAGAAAUAUUUCAACUCCUCCAAAUCAGCACUAUUUCUAGCAACUUGAGGGCAAUCAAACCACACCUAUACAUGCAUUUCUAUUGCAAGCAAAAUUACCAGGGGCUAGUCAAAACAUCCAAGAACAACUCCCUAGUUGACAACUCCGUCAAACGAAGCACGGAAUAAAUCCUACNNNNNNNNNNNNNNNNNNNNNNNNNNNNNNNNNNNNNNNNNNNNNNNNNNNNNNNNNNNNNNNNNNNNNNNNNNNNNNNNNNNNNNNNNNNNNNNNNNNNUCACCUUCAAGGAUCUGCUGGUGGCCACCGGCUACUUCAACGAGGCCAACUUCAUCGGCGAGGGCGGCUUCGGCAAGGUGUACAAGGGCAAGAUCUCCAAGACCAACCCGCAGGCGAGCUUCUCUGCCCCACCUCUGCUCCGUUCCGGCGGUCCUGGUUUCCGGUGAAAGACUCGAUUGAUUCUUCUUUUGGUUCUCACAGGGCGCUUCCGAUGCGCAGAUGGUGGCGGUGAAGCAGCUGGCCCGGGAGAGCGUGCAGGGGAGGAAGGAGUUCCUGGUGGAGGUGCUCAUGCUCACGGUGCUCAGCCACCCCAACCUCGUCAGCCUCGUCGGCUUCUGCGCGCAGGGGGACGAGCGGCUGCUGGUCUACGAGUACAUGCCCUUCGGCAGCCUCGNNNNNNNNNNNNNNNNNNNNNNNNNNNNNNNNNNNNNNNNNNNNNNNNNNNNNNNNNNNNNNNNNNNNNNNNNNNNNNNNNNNNNNNNNNNNNNNNNNUCUUUGGUAAUACUCCUUACUUCUUCUCAGAAUUAUUCAGACCUGCUCUCUGUUUUUGGUUCAGUUCAUCUCUGCAAUGCAGUCAACUAAGCAUCCAUGUUGGAAUGUGUGCGUAUGGUAGUUCAGUUUGUGUGGUGAACCUAUACCCUACUGGUGCGCGCUCUCGAAAGAAAUUCGUGUGGGUUUGGCAAAUCAAAGGGGAAAAUAAAUGUAUCGUAUCAUAGAAGAACCAUCUAUGGUUCUCCUUUCUCAGGGAAAGAGGUGACUUGGAGGAUUGCCUUUUUGGGGUUCACUUUUGGGAACCAUCUAUGGUUGUGCUGCUGUCUGUUAGCCUAUGAUAACCUCUGUUAGUGGUGGAAUGAGAAGUCCAGUUACUAUUACCAAACAAAAUAGAAUGUCCUACUUUUGUCGAAAAAAUAGAAGGUGGUACUCCAACUGUUCGAAGAUUCUUCUUGUCCGGUACACCGGUAUGAGGAUUUAUUGGAGUCUCACUUUCUCAGGAUCACGGUGGUUUUUUACUUUGAAAUAUGAAACAGAUCGUAUUUUGACCGGGUUACUCAGUUCAUAAGAAAACAAAAAAUAUUUAGUUGUCUUUAUACCUACCCUUAUAAAGAUCUGAGUUGGUGGUGGUCCAUUCACCCUCAUGGCCUCAUCAAGAUUUCCUAUUGAGUUAUUAGGACAUUACCUGUUGUCAUCCAUUAUGUGGAGGACAUAAGGUCCAUUCAACUGAUGUAUACUUCGAGAUAUAUCUUUCUUCAUUUUGCACAAAGUUAUGGAUGUGAUCUCACAAACAUUUAAACGGCUGAUGCAAUAUGGAAGAAAAAAAACUUCUGUAACAACACAUGGACACUUUUGCUAGUGGGAAUACCGCAUGAUAAACAUCUGAGUACAAAUGUUAAUCCUUGAAGUGUUGAAAUUUUUACCAUGAUGUGCAUUCAGGUAGUACAUGUGGGUCUUCGCACACAAACAAGAAAGUAAGAAAUAAAAAAAAGGUCCAUUUUCUCUGUUCAAUUAAAAACAGGGCACUAGAACCCUGAACAUCUUUUAUAUUAAGAAGAACCGAGCACCCUGCUGACGCUUGGCCUCAAACGCGGGUGGGCGAGCCACGGGCACGCAGACCUGCGCUCCUAGCCAAGCGAGCGAGCUCGGUUCUCUUUCUUUUUGGCUUUUAUUAUCUGCUUUAAUAGGAUUCUGAAUGCUAUCUAUUCUUCUAUAUGUUGAAGUAUUAAUUUCUACAAAAAUCGGGAAGAAACAAUAAGGCAGAUAUUUUAUCUGUAUUAUUUGUUUGGUGGAUAAACCAACCUUGAGCACCCUGUUGAUGCUGGGCCUCGAACGCGGGUGGGCGAGCCAUGGGCACGCAGACCUGCGCUCCUAGCCAAGAGAGCGAUGCCCGGUUCUCUUACUUUUUGGCUUUUAUUAUAUACUUUAAUAGGAUUCAAGAUGCUAUCUAUUCUUCUAUAUGUUGAAGUAUUAGUUUCUACAAAAAUCAUGAAGAAACAAUAAGGCAGAUAUUUUAUCUGUAUUAAUUGUUUGGUGUAUAAACCGACCUUGAGCUCACUGCUGAUGCUGGGCUUCGAACGCGGGUGGAUGAGCAAUGAGCGCGCAGACCCGCGCUCCUAGCCAAGCGAGCGGUGUUCUGUUUUCUCUUUUUUUGUUGCUUUUAUUGUCUGCUUUAGUAGAAUUCCGGAUGCUGUCUAUUCUUCUGUAUGUCAAAGUAUUCAUUUCUUCGAAAAUCGUGAAGAAACAAUAAGUCAGAUACUUUCUCGGUAUUAACUGUUGGUACAUCAACCAACCUUGAGGACCCUGCUGACGCUGGGCCUCGAUCACGGAUGGGCAAGCCAUGCGUAUGCAGACCAGGCGUUGGUCCGUUCUCUUUCUUUGUCAUUUGUAUUGUCUGCUUUAAUAGGAUUCUAUUUUUCUACAUCUCGAAGUUUUCAUUUCUACAGAAGUCGUGAAGAAAUAACAAGGUAUAAUUUUUUUUUCUGUAUUAACUGUUGGUGCAUCAACCAACCUUGAGCACCCUGCUGACGCUGGGCCUCGAACGCAGGUCAGUGGGCACCGAGCAUGCAGACCUGUCCUAGCCAAUCGAGUGGUGCUCGGUUCUCUUUCUAUGUCACUUUUAUUAUCUGGUUUAAUAGAAUCCAGGAUGCUAUCUAUCUUUUAUAGGUUGAAGUUUUCAUUUCUGCAAACAUCCUGAAGAAACAAUAGGGCAGAUUUUUUUUGUUGGUAUUAAUUGUUGGUGCAGCUAGCCAAUCGAGCGUUGCUUGGUUCUUUUUCUAUGUCGCUUUUAGUUUCUGCUUUAAUACAAUUCACAGUGCUAUCUCUUUUGCAUAUUGAAGUUUCUAUUUCUACAAAAAUCAUAAAUAAACAAUAAGGCAGAUAUUUGCUCUGUAUUAAUUGUUGGUGAAUCAACCAACCUUCCACCUAAAGUUUCUUAGUGCAUGGAUUCAGGUUUGAAUUUUGUGUUUCUUAGUACUUGAAUUGCAAUCAGGAUUUUGUAUUUAAAGAAGUCAAAGUUGGGACGAAGAUAAGUUAAAAACGGUCAGACGUAGUAUAGUAUAUGUCCUCUGCCAUCGCCUUUCUCUUCCUGAUUUCUUUUCUUGUAGGGCUGAAUACUUUGCAAGCUGUCUGAAACUAUGAGGUUGCUAUCUCCUCUUUCGAGGGAUGGAAGUCAGGGGACAAUGUAAUAGUUUGUUGUUAUCAUUUAUGGUCAAGUCCAUUUACAAACACUAUAAGUUAAGUGUUGAGUGCGAUAUCAAUGCCAUCCAUUUUUUGUAAAGUUAGUAAAUUGGUAAGUAUUAUAUUGACUUAAUCACUUAGUUGGGUAGUCUGAACCAUCCAUUUUGUGUAUGUUGGAAAACUACAAAAUAAACUGGUUUCGGUGUGCAAUCCACACAAUUUUUUUUGUCAUACUCGCUUAUGAGUUUCUUACCUGAAAAGCAACCUUUUUUGUGAUUAACCAUUUUCCUACAUGCCAAAAUUAUUGAGCACAUAAUGCCUAAGGUUAGCCAAAAUUGUCCCCACGGAAAUUAUUGAAGUUCUGAUGUCCCGUGCUUUGUCUCAUGUCUGAACAUCACAUGGUCUGCAUAAUGAUAGCAGUACUAGGUGAUGGGCAUUAUGUGGCUGUCUGAACUUUUCUGCAAAGUUCCUUUAUUUUCCUAUGCCCGCAAUCGCUUUCAUGAUGUGCUAUUACUGUAUUGUUGCUCCUCUUUUAAUUCUAAAGCAAUUUAGUUAUUUGUAUACUGAAACGAAACAUCGCCAUUGUCCUUUUAACAAGCUUCUGCUCUACAUUGUUCCUGUACACUUCAUUUGACUGAUAGAAAUUUCACCUUUGAACAGAUGUGCCUCAUGGCAAGCCACCACUGGACUGGAACACGCGAGUGAAGAUAGCUGUUGGGGUAGCAGAAGGGCUCUCGUACCUGCACAACGUGGCAGACCCACCGAUCAUUUACCGCGACAUGAAGGCUGCCAAUAUUCUGCUGGAUGAGGACUUCAGUCCAAAGCUUUCCGAUUUUGGACUCGCGAAAGUUGGCCCCGUUGGUGACAGGACCCAUGUCUCUACCAGGGUCAUGGGUACCUA
Molecule: long non-coding RNA, 37666 nt
Filed under: Hordeum vulgare
Lineage: Eukaryota; Viridiplantae; Streptophyta; Magnoliopsida; Poales; Poaceae
Description: long non-coding RNA (HVUL_LNC011124)
Source: RNAcentral